RNAcentral lists this ribosomal RNA (460 nucleotides) under uncultured bacterium. RNAcentral describes it as "partial 16S ribosomal RNA". It matches the Rfam family "Bacterial small subunit ribosomal RNA", at positions 338 to 795 of the family's 1533-position model. The record is from RNAcentral.
CCUACGGGAGGCAGCAGUGAGGAAUAUUGGUCAAUGGGCGAGAGCCUGAACCAGCCAAGUCGCGUGAGGGAAGACGGUCCUAUGGAUUGUAAACCUCUUUUGUCGGGGAGCAAAAAGGCCUCGUGAGGCCACAAGUGAGAGUACCCGAAGAAAAAGCAUCGGCUAACUCCGUGCCAGCAGCCGCGGUAAUACGGAGGAUGCGAGCGUUAUCCGGAUUUAUUGGGUUUAAAGGGUGCGUAGGCGGAAGGUUAAGUCAGCGGUAAAAUGUCGGUGCUCAACACCGGCCUGCCGUUGAAACUGGUCUUCUUGAGUGAGCGAGAAGUAUGCGGAAUGCGUGGUGUAGCGGUGAAAUGCAUAGAUAUCACGCAGAACUCCGAUUGCGAAGGCAGCAUACCGGCGCUCAACUGACGCUGAGGCACGAAAGCGUGGGGAUCGAACAGGAUUAGAUACCCGUGUAGUC